GCUGGAAUUGCUAGUAAUGGCAGGUCAGCAUACUGCCGUGAAUACGUUCCCGGGCCCUUGUACACACCGCCCGUCACACCAUGAGAGUUGGAAAUACCCGAAGCCUGUGAGCUAACUUUUAGAGGCAGCAGUCGAAGGUAGAGCCAAUGAUUGGGGUGAAGUCGUAACAAGGUAGC
RNAcentral lists this ribosomal RNA (176 nucleotides) under uncultured bacterium. RNAcentral's name for it is "partial 16S ribosomal RNA". It matches the Rfam family "Bacterial small subunit ribosomal RNA", at positions 1325 to 1500 of the family's 1533-position model. The record is from RNAcentral.